Long non-coding RNA from Olea europaea var. sylvestris, 564 nucleotides. RefSeq lists it as uncharacterized. The transcript has 2 exons. NCBI's taxonomy places the organism in Eukaryota, Viridiplantae, Streptophyta, Magnoliopsida, Lamiales, Oleaceae. The record is from RefSeq and is a predicted model, not a curated record.
CAAAACACGGCAAACACACUCUCAUUUUCGUUUCUCACAAUCCCUACGUCUCGCUUUCCUUCCACUCCUUUACCUUUUCCCUCACUGCAUCUCUCUUUUCCGACUACCGUGGGUCUGCAUCUUGACUCUCUACGCCGUGCGCGAGUACAUCUGUCGUCUGUGGUCUUCUGUGCGUGGUGCGUCUGUGGUGCAGUCUCUGGUCUGCCGUCUUCAAAGGUUCAAACCCUCACGCUGUCGUUUUAGAGAACUCAUCUUCCUUCGACUAGAGUUGCUGUGGAAUUUGCAAGUCAAUAGAGAAGAUCAAAUUUGUACUACCAGAUUGUGAAUGGAAAGCACAAGUUAUGGAGCUAUGACAUCUUUUGCACGCAUUCUUUUGCAUUAGAAUAGAGGGGAUGAUAAAAAAAAAAAAAAAGGAUCAAUAGAGGGGAUGUUAUUUUUUUGGAUAUGAUACUUGAUUGAGAGUAUAAUAGCAUCAAAUGUAUUAUUUGCCUCAAAAGGAUUAUAGACUUUUGAAGUAAUUUGUACACUUGACGUUUUAAUCAAGGCAAAUUUUACAUUCCACGA